GUAUUGAAAUGAUAGAUUUUUAAACUAACUUGCUUUUUAUCUUUUCUUUCCUUUUCUAAAGUGAUGUUCCUCCAUCUUAUGUUCAAACUAAAUUUUCUAGGCUGAAAGCUGUCUAUGUUCCAUUUUGGCAGAAAAAGACUUUUCCAGAGAUCAUCGACUACCUUUAUGAGACGACUCUACCUUUGCUGAAGGAAAAGUUAGAAAAAAUGAUGGAGAAAAAAGGCACUAAAAUCCAGACUCCUGCAGCACCCAAGCAAGUUUUUCCGUUUCGAGACAUCUUUUAUUAUGAAGACGAUAGUGAAGGAGAGGACAUAGAAAAAGAAAGCGAAGGCUAGGCGCCAUGGCUCACGCCUGUAAUUCCAGCACUUUGGGAGGCCAAGGCCGGUGGAUCAUCUGAGGUCAGGAGUUCUAGACCAGCCUGACCAGCAUGGUGAAGACAUGUCACUAUUAAAAAUGCGAAAAUUAGCCGGGUGUGGUAGUGCACACCUGUAAUUUCAACUACUUGGGAGGCUGAGGCAGGAGAAUCGCUUGAACCCAGGAGGCGGAGGUUGCAGUGAGCGAGAUCGCACCACCGCA
RNAcentral lists this small RNA (576 nucleotides) under Pongo abelii (Sumatran orangutan). Its description in RNAcentral is "processed transcript". The record is from RNAcentral. Lineage: Eukaryota; Metazoa; Chordata; Mammalia; Primates; Hominidae.